UCCAGUGUCAGGUCUUUCCUUCCUCACCUUCGGGCUAUUGCAGACUCUGAGAGCACAGGUAUUUCACAGCAAAUCCUCAGUCCCUGGAGUGGAGGGGUCUGUGGCACUUUGGCUGAAGAUCUGUUGUUUUGCUUCCUGGAGAAACUUGUCAUUAAAUGAACAUAAGAGUGGAGUUUAUCAAACCACAUCGACUGGAAUGUAAAAGGGAAGUCAGCUCUUCUGAGAAUCAUCUUUCAGUCACUGUUCUCUGUCAGAAAUGUCCUACAGAAGUGCUGCAACAGACCCUGGAGGAACUGCAGGGACUUGAUGCCUGAUCUUCCAAAGAGCACAGCAAGUACUUGCACACAUCAGAAAUGGUCAGAUUUUUAUAUUAUACAUGGAGGAAAGGGAGAGCAAUGGGAGUUACUCAUGCCAAGUGCAUUGAAUCUGUGGCUCCAUGACUGAAGAUUCUUAUGUGGGAAAUGAACAGUUCUGUAGUCCUGGUUCAUAGUUAGUUGCCAGGUAACUGCUUUCAGAGAAUCAGCAGAAAAAGUGUAUUUUCUUAAUACCUAUUGAAUAGAUCAUUAUUUUGGGUUUACAAGGAGCUAGUUUAUAUUUCCACAGUGAUCCCAUUGAUUACUACCACAUGCUGCACUAAGCAAGGUCUUCCCUCAUACAUGAGCUGUCAAGAGUCAGUAUUUUAAGUAUAGGAUAUGUGAACAUGCCUUAAAAUAAUUAUUAAAUAUUUAUUGUUGUAUUCUACCUCUUACCAAGCAGGAAUACUGAAGCUGGGAAAAAAAUCCACAGGAUUUCCCUUUCCUUUUUGUUUUUCUCUUCUUGCUUUGCUCUUUCCUUUUUCCUCCUGUCCAACUUGCACACUCCAUAAUGGUGAGAAGCAGAAAAAUUGCUGGAGGAAAUGCCAGAAGUGCAGGUAAAAAUACAUCUCGGACUCAGGAGUAAGGGUUACAGACAGACAGACUUUUCUUAGGCUUUAGAAAAAUCACUGUUAGAUUUAGACAAGCUACAUAUGAAGAAAGGGCAGCUGUGGAAUGAAACAGUCCUAAAGGCAUAAAAGGUUGUGUCAAGUAUGUGAGCAAUAGAGGAGGAGCUUACAUCGCUGCUUUUCGAGUAAUUUUCUGUUUUGAUUCAGUAUGCAGAACCCUGUCUAGUGAACUCAAGACUGAGGAUAAAUGUUUUUUUUUUCCUUGCUUACUUUCAACAGGUUGAUGAGAAGUCAUCCUCCCACACCCAGAGGCCAUGGGCUGUGAACCAGUUUUCUCUGGAGCUUGCAGAGAAAAAGACUCCUUUAAAAAGCAAUCCAGUUCUGGAGCUUUAGUCAUUAACCUUUGCUGGACUGAUGCCCCUCAGAGCAGUUCCAUGUUCUACUGAAUGAAGGGAAAAACAACCCCAAAAUAUAUCCACUGGUGU
Long non-coding RNA from Parus major (Great Tit), 1407 nucleotides. RefSeq lists it as uncharacterized. The transcript is spliced from 3 exons. The record is from RefSeq and is a predicted model, not a curated record. NCBI's taxonomy places the organism in Eukaryota, Metazoa, Chordata, Aves, Passeriformes, Paridae.